This 758-nucleotide ribosomal RNA is filed under the name uncultured Lysobacteraceae bacterium. RNAcentral describes it as "bacterial SSU rRNA". It matches the Rfam family "Bacterial small subunit ribosomal RNA", at positions 28 to 776 of the family's 1533-position model. The record is from RNAcentral. Lineage: Bacteria; Pseudomonadati; Pseudomonadota; Gammaproteobacteria; Lysobacterales; Lysobacteraceae.
AUUGAACGCUGGCGGCAUGCCUAACACAUGCAAGUCGAACGGCAGCACAGUAGAGCUUGCUCUAUGGGUGGCGAGUGGCGGACGGGUGAGUAAUGCAUCGGGAUCUACCCAAACGUGGGGGAUAACGUAGGGAAACUUACGCUAAUACCGCAUACGUCUUACGAGAGAAAGCAGGGGACCUUCGGGCCUUGCGCGGUUGGACGAACCGAUGUGCGAUUAGCUAGUUGGUAGGGUAAUGGCCUACCAAGGCGACGAUCGCUAGCUGGUCUGAGAGGAUGAUCAGCCACACUGGAACUGAGACACGGUCCAGACUCCUACGGGAGGCAGCAGUGGGGAAUAUUGGACAAUGGGCGCAAGCCUGAUCCAGCAAUGCCGCGUGUGUGAAGAAGGCCUUCGGGUUGUAAAGCACUUUUAUCAGGAGCGAAAUACUACCGGCUAAUAUCCGGUGGGGCUGACGGUACCUGAGGAAUAAGCACCGGCUAACUUCGUGCCAGCAGCCGCGGUAAUACGAAGGGUGCAAGCGUUAAUCGGAAUUACUGGGCGUAAAGCGUGCGUAGGCGGUUAUUUAAGUCUGUUGUGAAAUCCCCGGGCUCAACCUGGGAAUGGCAAUGGAUACUGGAUAGCUAGAGUGUGAUAGAGGAUGGUGGAAUUCCCGGUGUAGCGGUGAAAUGCGUAGAGAUCGGGAGGAACAUCAGUGGCGAAGCGGCCAUCUGGAUCAACACUGACGCUGAGGCACGAAAGCGUGGGGAGCAAACAGG